ACUCAUUUGGUGGAAUUGGUAGACACGACAGACUUAAAAUCUGUUUCCUUUUAGGAGUAACGGUUCAAUUCCGAUAAUGGGUA
RNAcentral lists this transfer RNA (83 nucleotides) under Monodopsis sp. MarTras21. Its description in RNAcentral is "tRNA-Leu". It matches the Rfam family "tRNA". From Rfam's summary of the family: Transfer RNA (tRNA) molecules are approximately 80 nucleotides in length. Their secondary structure includes four short double-helical elements and three loops (D, anti-codon, and T loops). The record is from RNAcentral. Lineage: Eukaryota; Eustigmatophyceae; Eustigmatales; Monodopsidaceae.